AGAGGGUGACCCCCCACACUGGUACUGAGACACGGACCAGACUCCUACGGGAGGCAGCAGUGAGGAAUAUUGGGCAAUGGAGGCAACUCUGACCCAGCCAUGCCGCGUGCAGGAAGAAUGCCCUAUGGGUUGUAAACUGCUUUUAUUUAGGAAUAAACCCUUCUACGUGUAGAGAGCUGAAUGUACUAAACGAAUAAGCACCGGCUAACUCCGUGCCAGCAGCCGCGGUAAUACGGAGGGUGCAAGCGUUAUCCGGAAUCAUUGGGUUUAAAGGGUCCGCAGGCGGACGUAUAAGUCAGUGGUGAAAUCCUGCAGCUUAACUGCAGAACUGCCAUUGAUACUGUACGUCUUGAAUUCGGUCGAAGUGGGCGGAAUGUGUAGUGUAGCGGUGAAAUGCAUAGAUAUUACACAGAACACCGAUAGCGAAGGCAGCUCACUAGGCCUGGAUUGACGCUCAGGGACGAAAGCGUGGGGAUCAA
This 479-nucleotide ribosomal RNA is filed under the name bacterium SCGC AAA166-G06. RNAcentral describes it as "bacterial SSU rRNA". It matches the Rfam family "Bacterial small subunit ribosomal RNA", at positions 295 to 771 of the family's 1533-position model. The record is from RNAcentral.